AGGGAGCUUGCUCCCGGAUGUUAGCGGCGGACGGGUGAGUAACACGUGGGUAACCUGCCUGUAAGACUGGGAUAACUCCGGGAAACCGGAGCUAAUACCGGAUAGUUCCUUGAACCGCAUGGUUCAAGGAUGAAAGACGGUUUCGGCUGUCACUUACAGAUGGACCCGCGGCGCAUUAGCUAGUUGGUGAGGUAACGGCUCACCAAGGCGACGAUGCGUAGCCGACCUGAGAGGGUGAUCGGCCACACUGGGACUGAGACACGGCCCACACUCCUACGGGAGGCAGCAGUAGGGAAUCUUCCGCAAUGGACGAAAGUCUGACGGAGCAACGCCGCGUGAGUGAUGAAGGUUUUCGGAUCGUAAAGCUCUGUUGUUAGGGAAGAACAAGUGCAAGAGUAACUGCUUGCACCUUGACGGUACCUAACCAGAAAGCCACGGCUAACUACGUGCCA
This 452-nucleotide ribosomal RNA is filed under the name Bacillus aerius. RNAcentral describes it as "bacterial SSU rRNA". It matches the Rfam family "Bacterial small subunit ribosomal RNA", at positions 73 to 510 of the family's 1533-position model. The record is from RNAcentral. Lineage: Bacteria; Bacillati; Bacillota; Bacilli; Caryophanales; Bacillaceae.